GUGGGGAAUCUUAGACAAUGGGCGCAAGCCUGAUCUAGCCAUGCCGCGUGAUCGAUGAAGGCCUUAGGGUUGUAAAGAUCUUUCGCUGGGGAAGAUAAUGACUGUACCCAGUAAAGAAGCCCCGGCUAACUCCGUGCCAGCAGCCGCGGUAAUACGGAGGGGGCUAGCGUUAUUCGGAAUUACUGGGCGUAAAGCGCACGUAGGCGGACUGGAAAGUUGGGGGUGAAAUCCCGGGGCUCAACCUCGGAACUGCCUUCAAAACUCCCAGUCUUGAGUUCGAGAGAGGUGAGUGGAAUUCCGAGUGUAGAGGUGAAAUUCGUAGAUAUCCGGAGGAACACCAGUGGCGAAGGCGGCUCACUGGCUCGAUACUGACGCUGAGGUGCGAAAGCGUGGGGAGCAAACAGGAUUAGAUACCCGUGUAGUCC
Molecule: ribosomal RNA, 425 nt
Filed under: uncultured bacterium
Lineage: Bacteria
Description: partial 16S ribosomal RNA
Rfam family: Bacterial small subunit ribosomal RNA
Source: RNAcentral